Molecule: long non-coding RNA, 1225 nt
Filed under: Equus asinus (donkey)
Lineage: Eukaryota; Metazoa; Chordata; Mammalia; Perissodactyla; Equidae
Description: lncRNA (ENSEASG00005030578.1)
Source: RNAcentral
GUCAUUAUGCAGCCUGAGGCAGGGCGGGCCUGGAGGGUCUGUGCUCCCCCGCCUCACACACAGAUCAGCACCUGAGGACACACAGGGUCCCCCAGCACAGCAGGGAGCCUGCUCUGGGUGGUCCCCAAGGCCCACCUCGCCCUGGAGGAACUCCCUGCCUCUCCCGCCCCUCCCUCCUAAGGAUGCGCUCUCUGUCUCCCAGCAGGCCCUUCCUCCCACACUGCCCCCAGGACCUGGCUCUGGUUCUCCCGUCCCCUCCCAGAGACCAGUGACCGGCAUCCACACCUCCACUCCCAUGCCCCUCAGAGCAUGCCCCCUCACCCCCCCACACACAGGGCCUGCCCUGCGAUGCCUGUGUUCAAGGGAGGGCAAAGCCCUGGCGUGUUCCUGGGCCCAAGCAAGACCAGGGGCCAAGGGUGAUCAGUGCUCUGCGGCCAGGAAUUUCCUGAAGGGGAAGGAAAAAAUGUCUCUGGUGGUCACCUCUAAAUUCCUGUUUUAUGUUCUGGGGAGUCUUUUAUUUCUGUUUCAGUUCCAUCUAACAAACACUGAACAUGAAACGACCUGGGAUGAGCUGGUGACCUGCAGCGGAAAGCCGGGUGCAGGAAGUGUCUUCCUCAACCCGAGUCCUCAGGAAGCUGUGGGUGGCCAGAUGCCUGCCCACUGCCUCUCUGCACAGAGACCCAGUAGCGUGGGCCGGAAACCGAGCUCCAGAGAGGGACAGGGGCUAGCUCAAAGCCACACAGCAAGUCUGUCUACACAUGCCUUGGGUGCUUGAGGGUGGCCAGCUGGGGGUCACCUUGGCCAGUGCAGCUCUGGGAAGACUGGGGUAGGGGUGGGGAUUCUUUCUGGACAGAAUUUAUGGGCUGAUUCUUCCUCAGUGGCUCUCUCCUGAGUGGCACUGUCCCAGGCCUGCAGUGACUGGUGUCAUCUCUGGCUUUAGGGGACAAUUCUGAAGGAGUAGUGGGCUCACGGGCGGCAGGCUGUCACCUGUGUGGUCCUGUCGCCCUCAUGUGGUUUCCUCUGGCAUUGCAGCCAGUGCCAGGAGAAGGGGAAGGCAGCUCCAAGUCACCUGGCCUGUUACAGGAAGAGAAACGAGAGAAGGAAGAGACAGGCAUGUAAACAGAUAAAUGGCAGGCCAUGCAGAGUGGUGGGUGAUGGGUGCCACAGCAGAGGAAGGGACACAGGAAGUGACAUCUGAGCCGGGCUGCACAUGCAGGGAGCGGGG